Long non-coding RNA from Melanotaenia boesemani (Boeseman's rainbowfish), 388 nucleotides. RefSeq lists it as uncharacterized. Lineage: Eukaryota; Metazoa; Chordata; Actinopteri; Atheriniformes; Melanotaeniidae. The transcript is spliced from 3 exons. The record is from RefSeq and is a predicted model, not a curated record.
AGGACCUGAACCAUACAGCAGAAAUUUUUCUGUAUCCUUCCCCAGAUUUGUGCCUCAAGACAAUCCUGUCUCGGAGGUCUACAGACAAUUCCUUCAACUUCAUGCUUGGUGUUUGUGCUCUGACAUGCAUGGUCAACUGUGGGACCUUAUGUAAACAGGUGUGUGCCUUUCCAAAUCAUGUCCAAUCAACUGAAUUUACCACAGGUGGACUCCAAUUAAGCUGUAGAAACAUCUCAGGGCUUAUCAGUGGGAACAGGAUGCACCUGAGCUCAAUUUUGAGCUCCAUGGCAAAGGUUGUGAAUACUUAUGAAAAUGUGAUUUCUUCGUUUUCCAUUUUUAAUAAAUUCAAAAAAUCUCAAAAAAACUUUUUUCACCUUGUCAUAAUAAG